CAUAUCAAUAAGCGGAGGAAAAGAAACUAACAAGGAUUCCCCUAGUAACUGCGAGUGAAGCGGGAAAAGCUCAAAUUUAAAAUCUGUCAGUCUUUGGCUGUCCGAGUUGUAAUCUAGAGAAGUGCUAUCUGCGCUGGACCGUGUACAAGUCUCCUGGAAUGGAGCGUCAUAGAGGGUGAGAAUCCCGUCUUUGACACGGAUUGCCAGGGCUUUGUGAUACGCUCUCAAAGAGUCGAGUUGUUUGGGAAUGCAGCUCAAAAUGGGUGGUAAAUUCCAUCUAAAGCUAAAUAUUGGCGAGAGACCGAUAGCGAACAAGUACCGUGAGGGAAAGAUGAAAAGAACUUUGGAAAGAGAGUUAAACAGUACGUGAAAUUGCUGAAAGGGAAACGCUUGAAGUCAGUCGCGUUGUUCAGGGAUCAACCUUGCUUUUGCUUGGUGUACUUCCUGGUUGACGGGUCAGCAUCAAUUUUGACUAUUGGAAAAAGUUCAAAGGAAUGUGGCAUCUUCGGAUGUGUUAUAGCCUUUGGUCGCAUACAAUGGUUGGGAUUGAGGAACUCAGCACGCCGCAAGGCCGGGUUUUAACCACGUACGUGCUUAGGAUGCUGGCAUAAUGGCUUUAAUCGACCCGUCUUGAAACACGGACCAAGGAGUCUAACAUGCCUGCGAGUGUUUGGGUGGAAAACCCGAGCGCGCAAUGAAAGUGAAAGUUGAGAUCCCUGUCGUGGGGAGCAUCGACGCCCGGACCAGACCUUUUGUGACGGUUCCGCGGUAGAGCAUGUAUGUUGGGACCCGAAAGAUGGUGAACUAUGCCUGAAUAGGGUGAAGCCAGAGGAAACUCUGGUGGAGGCUCGUAGCGAUUCUGACGUGCAAAUCGAUCGUCAAAUUUGGGUAUAGGGGCGAAAGACUAAUCGAACCAUCUAGUAGCUGG
RNAcentral lists this ribosomal RNA (928 nucleotides) under Cortinarius taylorianus. Its description in RNAcentral is "partial large subunit ribosomal RNA". It matches the Rfam family "Eukaryotic large subunit ribosomal RNA", at positions 39 to 954 of the family's 3401-position model. The record is from RNAcentral. Lineage: Eukaryota; Fungi; Basidiomycota; Agaricomycetes; Agaricales; Cortinariaceae.